Peromyscus eremicus (cactus mouse) is the source of this 265-nucleotide long non-coding RNA. RefSeq lists it as uncharacterized. The transcript has 3 exons. Lineage: Eukaryota; Metazoa; Chordata; Mammalia; Rodentia; Cricetidae. The record is from RefSeq and is a predicted model, not a curated record.
GGGAAGAGCAAGGUAGAUCUCAAGCUGGAUUCACAAAGGCACAUGGGUAGCCGAGCACAGCCUGCUGCUGAUGCUGGGGACUGGCUGUGUACCAGGGAAAGAAGAGACCCGGGCCCAGGAGAGCAUCUCUGGCCAGCAGCCUGGCUUCUACAGUAUCUGUAAGUGUAGCCACCACCCCUCAUCAAAGAAGCCUCUCUUUACAGUGAAUGGAGAGCAGCACAGAAAACCACAACUGGACACAAUGCAGAGAUCAAUGGAUCAUGGU